This 1058-nucleotide long non-coding RNA is filed under the name Sorghum bicolor (sorghum). RNAcentral's name for it is "long non-coding RNA (SBIC_LNC000423)". Lineage: Eukaryota; Viridiplantae; Streptophyta; Magnoliopsida; Poales; Poaceae. The record is from RNAcentral.
ACCACCUCCUCUCUGAUACGGUCUUCACCAUGGUAGAUCCACCAGUAGUAGCCCGGCGUAUAACCAUGGUACACCAAAUGUUUACCCAUGGUCUCCUUGUUCACCCUCCUCUUGUUGUCACAGUGGCUGCACGGACACCAAACUAGCAAAUGCCCUCUAGCUACAACCGCGCCAAAUGCGUGGUUCAAGAAAGCAUCUGUCCUCUUCACCCAAUCCAUGUCGUAAUCAUUUCGGCUUCUUCGCCCGGUGUACAUCCACUGACGGUCCUCCAUCCUUUGACAAAUACGACACCAAGUAACGUAACCACCUAGCCGGUAUUCCUACUGUCUAAUAGGUGAGGAUAGGUCCUAAUCCCACCCGCGUAUGCGUAGAUGAGGUCAGUUUCCAUGCUCCGCUACGAUCCGAGACAGAAUUUCGGCAGCACAUGUGAGAUGUUUGGGUUUUGUGCACCAGACGUUACCACAGACUCAGAAUUUUUUGAAAUUUUUAUCAUAGCAUCCACAUGUGAUAACAUGUUAUGUCGCCAAGUUUCGUGAUUUUCUGAGUUUGUUUUCAUUUUAUAUAUUCAAAAAAAAAGAUUUCACGCAACUUGGUCCACAUGUUUCGGGGGGUAAACGUUCGAUAUUUCAUGUGGCUUUCUGCAUACGGCCUGGAAAUGCACUAACAAUCAUGAAUGUCAAGAUUGAAAUAAUUAAAUACUAUUAUUUAAUGCACCUGUAGUUUGAAUUUGAAAUUUGUCGAAAAAUUCAACAAAUUCAAAAAAUCCAAAAAAUAUACCAACGUUAUUUCAAAAUGAACCAAACUUUAGCAUGUACUUAAAAAUAGUGUAGGUGUGCCACAGAAAGAAAAAAAACAUGGAUCCAAAAAAACAAAAAAAAAAUUUGUCGAGGGCCUACUCCAGACCCUCGGCAAAGAGGGGAGUUGCCGAAGGCAGGCUGGCGGGCCCUCGGCAAAGUCUGACCUCCGGCAGAGCUUUGCCGAGGGCUUAACUACGGGCACUCGGCAAAGCCUAACGUCCAGAGCCAUCGUUACUCUGGGCCCACACCUCCGAGCGCCCC